GGGGACUCUGGGGUGGCAGAGGGCAAGGAGAGGAAGCCGCCCCCGUCUAGGGGGCCCGCCCCAGCCCCACGGGAAGUGGGACGGGGAAAGGCACCCUACAAAGAAAGGACUCCUAGCUCCCAACUGGUUCGAAUCCCACCUCGGCCACUUACUGGGUGUGUGACCUUGGGUAGGGUAACGCCUCUCUGUGAGCCUCUGCUUUUUCCAGAAGAAACGGGAAAAAUCAAAGUGCUGCCUUCUCUGAGUCAAUUAGGCGACCCUCAUUACGGCGACAGUCGGGAAGUAUGGGGUCUGGGCCCGCCCGGGCACACGGAGGGUGCCUGCCGCAGGUGGCCGGUUCCCUCGGGGCUGCCCAAGGCUGGGCGAGGGCCUCUUCGCCCAGCUGGUCGGGAUCAGGACGCGACACGGAAGAGACCCCAGCUCUGCCCUGACCCCGGUCCGGGUCCGCAGGACGCAGCCCACUCGCCCUCAGAACACCGGCUCGCCUGGCACCCGGCGCGGCCCGGGCCCCGCUCGGACUCGAACCUGGUGGGGGCGCGCCCGGCAGAAAGCGGGGUGCUGGGACAGCGGGACCCCCACGCGCGACCCUGGUCUCCCGGGCCAGUCCCCUCCCCAGGUCCGGGCGGCUCACCAGGGCCGACUUGGAUGCUGCGGACUGAAGUCCACGUCUUCUUGCUGGAUGUUGGCUGGUGUCAUUCUCACUCCUAGAGGCCACUGCAUUCCUUCCACGAUGGCUUGAACACCUCCAUCAUCAGAGCCAGCAAGCAAGAGCACGCUGAAGACGCUUCGAGAUGCAGCAAGACGCCUGUAAUCCCAGCCCUUUGGGAGACCGAGGCAGGUGGAUCACGAGGUCAGGAGAUCGAGACCAUCCUGGCCAACAUGGUGAAGCCCCGUCUCUACUGAAAUACAAAAAGUUAGCCAGACGUGGUGGCACGUGUCUAUAGUCCCAGCUACUCGGAGGCUGAGGCAGGGGAAUCGCUUGAACCCGGGAGGCGGAAAUUGCAGUGAGCUGAGAUUGCGCCACUGCACUCCAGCCUGGCAACAGAGCGAGACUCCAUCUCAAAAAAAAAGGUGCUGCAAGACGCUUCCAAUCUCUGUGACUUCCCCUUCUGCCAUACCUCUUUACUUUUUCCCCCUCUUUUGGGGAGGGGGGAGGGUUUAAAAUAAAUAUAAAAUUUACCAUCAUAACUGUGAAAGGAAAAUAAAUCUCAGGACUCCAAAAUCACUAAGCCAAAGGGAAAAGUCAAGCUGGGAACUGCGUUGGGCAAACUGCCUCGCCUUUUCUUCUUUAAUAAAAUAGCUACGAAGAUUUAAAAAGCUACAUACCUCCCUCACAAUUUGCCCGCUAGGAAAUUUUUCGUGGGCACCCAAGAUCUUUACCCUAAAACAGUUUUGUUGAAUUUUACCCUAACAAUGUA
RNAcentral lists this long non-coding RNA (1418 nucleotides) under Homo sapiens (human). RNAcentral describes it as "LHRI_LNC1856.3". Lineage: Eukaryota; Metazoa; Chordata; Mammalia; Primates; Hominidae. The record is from RNAcentral.